Molecule: unclassified non-coding RNA, 439 nt
Filed under: Hevea brasiliensis (rubber tree)
Lineage: Eukaryota; Viridiplantae; Streptophyta; Magnoliopsida; Malpighiales; Euphorbiaceae
Source: RNAcentral
AAAAGUUAUCUUGUAAUCAGUUUUGGAGUAUAAUACAUUACAUAUUUGACAACCAAGUAUGAAUCGUUCACAAACUAAUUUCCAUAAUUAUACAAUACAUUUCUGGGCAAAUAUGCUACGAAGUACCUGUAAGUUACAUGUUAUGAUUUCUACUCUGUUUCUGAGACGACGUCCAACACUGAGGGGGGUCGUUUUCUUGAAAUUCUUGCAAUCGUUCUUGUCCGAAUGGCCACGUUAAAUGGAUUGGGAGGUACUGUAAGAUUCUCUCCUUCACCUUCCAACAUAUGAAUAGCAACCUUUAUGGAGGGGCGAUCAACUGGGUUCCAUUGAAUGCACCAGAGUCCAACAAUUGCUAGUUUCUUCGCAAUUUUAGCAUCUCCCUCUUCCUCAAUGUGGAACCUAAGGUCUUCUCCUUCUUCCAAAAGAUUAUAAAUCCAUU